Molecule: unclassified non-coding RNA, 402 nt
Filed under: soil metagenome
Description: partial contains 5.8S ribosomal RNA, internal transcribed spacer 2, and large subunit ribosomal RNA
Rfam family: 5.8S ribosomal RNA (bases 1-121)
Source: RNAcentral
GAUGAAGAACGUAGCGAAAUGCGAUAAGUAAUGUGAAUUGCAGAAUUCAGUGAAUCAUCGAAUCUUUGAACGCACCUUGCGCCCUUUGGCUAUUCCGAAGGGCAUGCCUGUUUGAGUAUCAUGAACACCUCAACUCCUCAUGGCAUGCCAUGAUGAGCUUGGACUUGGGGGUCUUGCUGGCCUGUGGUCAGCUCCUCUCAAAUGAAUCAGCUUGCCAGUGAUUGGUGGCACCACAGGUGUGAUAAACAUCUACGCUUGUGGUUCCCCACCAUGUAACCUUUAGCGAUGGAGGUUCGCUGGAGCUCACAAAUGUCUUUCCUCAGUGAAGACAGCUCUUUGAUUGUUUGAUCUCAAAUCAGGUAGGACUACCCGCUGAACUUAAGCAUAUCAAUAAGCGGAGGA